AGGUGAACUUAGGUACCAAGACCCUUCUGAAAGUCUUUCCAAAACUAGAAAGUAAAAUAAGCACCCCUAUCUGAGAUGAUAGACAAGGGGACUCCAUACAAUCUGACUAACUUUCGGAUAUUCAACUUAUCAUAAUCCUUAACUAUAUAAGACGUGAAAUUGUAAUAAAUGCACGAACUUAGUCAAUCUGCCUAUGAUAACCCAAAUCCAAUCAUGGUGUCGACAUGAAUGUGGUAAACCAGUC
This 244-nucleotide long non-coding RNA is filed under the name Capsicum annuum. RNAcentral describes it as "long non-coding RNA (CANN_LNC012368)". The record is from RNAcentral. Lineage: Eukaryota; Viridiplantae; Streptophyta; Magnoliopsida; Solanales; Solanaceae.